UUCUGGGUCUGGAUCCCACUCUAAGGAUUCUGGGAACGAUGCUGGAGGUGAAGAGGGUGGUGUCAUCACUGUUGGCUUUGCACCAGAGGCAGAAGUGUGCUAACCUUUAAACCUCUGGUAAGCCACCCUGACUCCAAGAAGGUCCGAUCCAGAGGGAAAUUGCCUACCGAUUCCGAGGAAUCCCUGGCACGCUAAACUCCUGGCAAAUCAGGACCACCUCGCCUUCACCCAGAGAUGACUGGCAGACAGUCGGGGGUGGGGGUGGGGGGGGGCACUCAGAUUAUCCCGAAUAAAGCCAUAUUUGUUUCGGUGAAAAAGCCUCCAAAAGAGGAUGGAGCGCCGACGAGAGGGCGAUGGAUAGCGCUUUGUUUUUGAGUUGAAAACAAAACAAGCCUAAAGACUUUGAGGAAUUGAAAUACUCUACACACACACAUAAAAAGCUGCCCACCUGAGGGUCUUUUUCUGGAUGUAAGGUGUAAGACACAGUGAUACAGUGUUUCUUAGGAGGCUAGGGUGAUUAGUCUAGUGCCCAAUUCUAGUGCCCACUGUAACAAAAGAGAUUAUAGCUGAUUAUUAUUCCAAUAAAUAUGACUUAAAUUCUCUCCUGUGGAGAACAAAAGACCCCAGAUGGUUCCACAUGCACAGACACCAUUUAUCCCACAUUAAUGCAGCAUAUAAUCCUCUAUAUAAAAUAUGCAUAAAAUGCUCACAGCUGUGGAUAAACAACUACUGUCUGAUCCUUUGGUUACCCAGGUGCCAAAGACGUCUGACUUGCCAUACAGAAAUGCUGAACUUUUUUCCAUCCGUUUCAGAAGAAUUCAGCUUACUGUGAACUCGCUCUUAAAAGUGCAAUAUCAGAGUUCAGUGCCGUGCCGAUGAUGCUUUCUCAUAAAGUUGGAUUUCGUUAGUCAAGAAAUAGAAAUGUAUUGAGAAAUGUUUUAUUUGUAAAUAUUUAAUUAGAUAUUGUGGUAUUAAUUUGUGCAGAAUGCCAUGACCCCUUAUAUUCGCUACCUGUGUGCAUAGACUUACACACACACACACACACACACAAAGAAAGGCAUAGAAGCAUUGCUGUUUGCAAUUUUUUGCAGACAUAUUCUUUCAGGGGAUUCUAAGGUUAGAGGUUUGGGCUCUUAAGAGAACAAGUGCAGUCAUUACAGAGCUUUUUCACAAAUGUUUGUGAAAGAUUAAAUUACUGUAACCAUGAACCAUAUCAAUAUACAAACAUACAACUGUAGGAUACCCUCAGAUUUAGCUGUCAUUUCAUGCUUGCACACAUUAUGUCUAAGACAGUGAUUAAACUAGUAUUUUAUUCGGAGAGAAUACACUUCAUCUUAUUGUCAAUAUCACUGUGACUAUAGGCCUAUAUUGACAAUCAAAACUCGAUGAAAGAUUAAAGACUACAAAAAUCGCCAUCAGUGGAAACAUAGGCUAAUGCUCAUGUCAUUAUGAACCUGUUGGGCUAUAACGAUUAGGUUACUUUGAAGACAAAAUGUCGUUUUUUUCUCUUACCGUUAUUCCGCUCUUUCUCUCUACAGCUCUCUUCACUUUCCCAUACGUGCCUUUGCCAAGCGUCUCCAGA
Long non-coding RNA from Alosa sapidissima (American shad), 1582 nucleotides. RefSeq lists it as uncharacterized. Lineage: Eukaryota; Metazoa; Chordata; Actinopteri; Clupeiformes; Clupeidae. The transcript has 3 exons. The record is from RefSeq and is a predicted model, not a curated record.